UACGAAGGGGGCUAGCGUUGUUCGGAAUUACUGGGCGUAAAGCGCGCGCAGGCGGCCCUUUAAGUCCGUCGGUCAAAUGCCGGGGCUCAACCCCGAUGCAUGCCGAGGAUACUGGAGGGCUGGAGACACGUAGAGGCAAGCGGAAUUCCGGGUGUAGCGGUGGAAUGCGUAGAGAUCCGGAAGAACACCGGAGGCGAAGGCGGCUUGCUGGGCGUGAUCUGACGCUGAGGCGCGAAAGCGUGGGGAGCGAACAGG
Molecule: ribosomal RNA, 255 nt
Filed under: uncultured bacterium
Lineage: Bacteria
Description: partial 16S ribosomal RNA
Rfam family: Bacterial small subunit ribosomal RNA
Source: RNAcentral